AUCGCCGUGCUGAAAGGGACUAUGAUCAUACUGAGCUAGAGGAUGACCAUGGUUGGUAUGAACAACCUGAGCAGGGGCACAGGCAGCCAGAUGCAGAGCAUGAUCAGCGUUAUGAUCAUUAUGAACGUCCCCGAAGUAGGGGACAAUAUGAUCAUAUGGAUGUUCGAGGUGACCAUGACCGUUAUGAUCAAUAUCCUGACCAUGAUCAUGAUCGUUAUGAUCAAAUGGAUGACGAUGAUUAUCACUAUGAUCGUGGAGCAUCUGAGUCACAUGAAAGAGAUCGUGAAUAUCGGCGCUCAAAGAGAUCACUUUCCCAGGACUAUGAUAACUGAAAGUGCAAGUUUGCUGUAAUCCUGCUGUUAUGCUUUAUCGGUAAGGUCACUGAAUUUAACAGAAGCCCUUUUUGCUCUAUAUUGCUCUGUCUUUCCUGCCUAAUUUG
RNAcentral lists this unclassified non-coding RNA (439 nucleotides) under Hevea brasiliensis (rubber tree). Lineage: Eukaryota; Viridiplantae; Streptophyta; Magnoliopsida; Malpighiales; Euphorbiaceae. The record is from RNAcentral.